GAGUUUGAUCCUGGCUCAGAACGAACGCUGGCGGCAGGCCUAACACAUGCAAGUCGAGCGCGCCUUUCGGGGUGAGCGGCGGACGGGUUAGUAACGCGUGGGAAUAUGCCCUUUGGUACGGAAUAGCCUCUGGAAGCGGAGAGUAAUACCGUAUGAGCCCUUCGGGGGAAAGAUUUAUCGCCAAAGGAUUAGCCCGCGUUAGAUUAGGUAGUUGGUGGGGUAAUGGCCUACCAAGCCUACGAUCUAUAGCUGGUUUUAGAGGAUGAUCAGCAACACUGGGACUGAGACACGGCCCAGACUCCUACGGGAGGCAGCAGUGGGGAAUCUUGGACAAUGGGGGCAACCCUGAUCCAGCCAUGCCGCGUGAGUGAUGAAGGCCUUAGGGUCGUAAAGCUCUUUCGCCUGUGAAGAUAAUGACGGUAGCAGGUAAAGAAACCCCGGCUAACUCCGUGCCAGCAGCCGCGGUAAUACGGAGGGGGUUAGCGUUGUUCGGAAUUACUGGGCGUAAAGCGCACGUAGGCGGAUCGGAAAGUUGGGGGUGAAAUCCCGGGGCUCAACCCCGGAACUGCCUCCAAAACUAUCGGUCUAGAGUUCGAGAGAGGUGAGUGGAAUUCCGAGUGUAGAGGUGAAAUUCGUAGAUAUUCGGAGGAACGCCAGUGGCGAAGGCGGCUCACUGGCUCGAUACUGACGCUGAGGUGCGAAAGUGUGGGGAGCAAACAGGAUUAGAUACCCUGGUAGUC
This 740-nucleotide ribosomal RNA is filed under the name uncultured marine bacterium. Its description in RNAcentral is "bacterial SSU rRNA". It matches the Rfam family "Bacterial small subunit ribosomal RNA", at positions 9 to 795 of the family's 1533-position model. The record is from RNAcentral.